Molecule: transfer RNA, 28 nt
Filed under: Rhinella merianae
Lineage: Eukaryota; Metazoa; Chordata; Amphibia; Anura; Bufonidae
Description: partial tRNA-Gln
Source: RNAcentral
UUAGAAAAAUAGGAAUUGAACCUAUAAC